GCUGGGUGCAGUGGUGCACACCUGUAAUUCCAGCAUCUUGGGAGGCUGAGGUAGGAGGAUCUUGAGUGCAAAGCCAGCCUCAGCAAAAGCUAGGUGCUAAGCAACUCAUUGUGACUUUGUCUCUA
RNAcentral lists this small RNA (125 nucleotides) under Marmota monax (woodchuck). Lineage: Eukaryota; Metazoa; Chordata; Mammalia; Rodentia; Sciuridae. The record is from RNAcentral.